RNAcentral lists this ribosomal RNA (686 nucleotides) under Photobacterium angustum. RNAcentral describes it as "bacterial LSU rRNA". It matches the Rfam family "Bacterial large subunit ribosomal RNA", at positions 242 to 976 of the family's 2925-position model. The record is from RNAcentral. Lineage: Bacteria; Pseudomonadati; Pseudomonadota; Gammaproteobacteria; Vibrionales; Vibrionaceae.
AGUAGCGGCGAGCGAAACCGGAUUAGCCCUUAAGCUAGUUUUGCGUUAGGUGAAAGUUCUGGAAAGUUCUGCGAUACAGGGUGAUAGCCCCGUAACCGACAACGCAUUAUCAGUGAAAACGAGUAGGACGGGACACGUGAUAUCCUGUUUGAAUAUGGGGGGACCAUCCUCCAAGGCUAAAUACUCCUGACUGACCGAUAGUGAACCAGUACCGUGAGGGAAAGGCGAAAAGAACCCCUGUGAGGGGAGUGAAAUAGAACCUGAAACCGUGUACGUACAAGCAGUAGGAGCCCACUUGUUGGGUGACUGCGUACCUUUUGUAUAAUGGGUCAGCGACUUAAUUUUAGUAGCAAGGUUAACCGGUUUAGGGGAGCCGUAGGGAAACCGAGUCUUAACUGGGCGAAAUAGUUGCUAGGAUUAGACCCGAAACCGAGUGAUCUAGCCAUGGGCAGGUUGAAGGUGAGGUAACACUUACUGGAGGACCGAACCGACUAAUGUUGAAAAAUUAGCGGAUGACUUGUGGCUAGGGGUGAAAGGCCAAUCAAACUCGGAGAUAGCUGGUUCUCCCCGAAAGCUAUUUAGGUAGCGCCUCGGACGAAUACUACUGGGGGUAGAGCACUGUUAAGGCUAGGGGGUCAUCCCGACUUACCAACCCUUUGCAAACUCCGAAUACCAGUAAGUACUAU